UUCAUGUUCUGAGGCACAUCAAAUUGUUUUUCCGGUUUAGCCGUGAAGGUACCGGAGCACAGAGACGAAGUGAGUUGCCCAAGGUCACAUAAUUAGGACACAGUCAAGCCGGGACUUGGACUCUCCCUUGUGCAGUUGCUGUGAACAGCUAAUAAGGAACACAGGCGACGUUAGGGUUUGACAGAAUGUGCUGAUACACAAUGGGUUAUUUACACAACAUGGUAGUUUCUCAAGAUGUAAUUUAGCAAUACAAGAUGUGUUUCUCUGAUAGAGGCAAGAAGAGGAAGGAGCGCCUGUGGAGGAGACCGCACAUAUAUCUGAUACAGCUACACCCAAGGCACUUUCAGCUGGGACCCCGGACCCUCCAAGCUGCUGGUAGGAGGCGUUGCCUCGCAUCUCCUUUGUGAUAAACUGUCUUCUGCACCAAACCGUGAGCUCGCCGAGGAACGUUACCGGAUGAGUCACUAUUUGUAACGGGCUCAAAACCAUGCCUGCUAGUGCUAAACGUGACUUAAUUGUUGAAAAGUUGAAUGAAAAGAACUGCAUAUAGUUUGAGUUUUCACCCUCUCUUUGGGGAGCAGCCCAGUGGGCUGCCAGUGGAUGACGUCUAAGGGGAUGAAGGAGGCCCACAAAAUGCGGGUUACCAUGAUAAGGAAUGGAGGUCAUUGCAUAAGUCACAAAAGGCUUGACUUCUAGAGAAAUAUUUCGGUCAAUGCACUCUGAUUACCUUCACUGUGUCCCGGCCCCCUGGAGCCCCCAGCCCUCCUCAUGAUCCCUGAGCGAGGUUCUCCGGGGCUCUUCACAGGGCCUCUGCCUGUGAGGUCUGCUCGUGGAGCCCAUUCAGAGGUCUGCCGCCGGCCUGUUUUGUAGGAGGCCUGUCCUUCCGGCAGGUUUACAAGGCCUCGGAUGCACUUUCCCCCACGCAGGCUCAGCAAUGCACCCAUUAUCCUAUGUGUUUACCCUACGUUGGCUCAUCUAAUUAUUUUUGCCAUCUAGGCCUUGUGGGAUUGAUCACAGUUUGUGAAUUAGUGGGGCCUGAAAUCAUCAGGUUUUUCAGGAUCUUUAAUUAUCUGUAAAGGUGGCAGGAUAAUUGCCUCAUUUAAGGCAAGACAAAGGGAAUUAGUUAAACACAAGAAAAUGAGACACAGAGGUUGGGUCUGAGAAAUGGUUAAGUCUCUACAAAUGUGGAUUCACAUUCAGGACUGCACCCAAGGGCCGGUUCUGAUCCCAACAGGUCUCUGCUUAUGAGCCCUGCCUACGUGUGAUGGCCCUCGUCGAUUUUUGUGCCAUGGAGGCUCAGGCUACGGAAAAAUCUCUUACAGAGCCUGUCCAGGCUCCGAUGCUCCAGGUUUGUGAUUUUAUUACCAUCGUUUUCUGAAGUGAGGAAGAGGGAGUUCCUAUUGAAAUGACCUACUGCCAAAGAAAGGGUUCCGCAGAAGUGCGACACCUAAAAAUAAGUAUUCCAGGAAUUAUCAAUUGUUUUCAUGCUAAAUUUACUUAAUCGCACACACACACAUGCACACGGCUUUCAUUCACAUCUAAAAACGCUUUCCAGUCCAUGUAGGUCACAUUUUUUUUCUCCGUUCUUUUGAUGAACUUCUGUGUGCAC
Molecule: long non-coding RNA, 1609 nt
Filed under: Canis lupus familiaris (dog)
Lineage: Eukaryota; Metazoa; Chordata; Mammalia; Carnivora; Canidae
Description: lncRNA (ENSCAFG00845003118.1)
Source: RNAcentral